Molecule: long non-coding RNA, 569 nt
Organism: Brassica napus (rape)
Lineage: Eukaryota; Viridiplantae; Streptophyta; Magnoliopsida; Brassicales; Brassicaceae
Exons: 2
Source: RefSeq, a predicted model, not a curated record
AAUGAUAAUGUUACCAUAACUACAUGAAAGGAGGCACUUAGAAAUAGAUAUUUUUUGUUUUGUUUUACAAUGAUAAUGUUAAAGUACCUUUUCCGGUUCCAACGUUGUAGAUACCGACUUUAUGAGGCUGAGCUUUCUCAAGAGCCUUUACGUGAGCAUCCACGAGUCCGGGAAUGAAACCGCGAGCGGCAUCAAAACAAGCACCGGAGAUACGUCCCUGGUCACGAAGUUCGGGUCUUGGAGCUUCUCCUAAUCUACCUCCUGGAUCUGAACCAAUCACAUUGAAGUAUCUGCAAGUUCAGAGAUUCAUAAACAUUUGCAUAAUUGUUUCAUUGAUCAUAGAGUAACAAAAAAAGGCUAAAGAAUAUGCUCAAUGAACCUAACCUCAAGAUCAUAACAGCCAUGUCAGAGUUCUUAGAGAAAUCCAAGAUCAUGUCCUCUGCCAUCUUUUUAGCUUUCCCGUAAGGAUUAAUCGGAACCUAAAUCAAAUAUUUUCAUUAGAAGAAUGAGACAAAUGAAUUUGUAAUGAAUUAAUGAUCUUAAUUUUACCUGCGGGGUAUCUUCAGUAA